GGGUCGUUAGCUCAGCGGUAGAGCAGCGGACUUUUAAUCCGUUGGUCGAAGGUUCAAAUCCCUCACGACCCA
Molecule: transfer RNA, 72 nt
Filed under: Rivihabitans pingtungensis
Lineage: Bacteria; Pseudomonadati; Pseudomonadota; Betaproteobacteria; Neisseriales; Aquaspirillaceae
Also listed under: 1 other name
Description: Rivicola pingtungensis tRNA-Lys
Rfam family: tRNA
About the family: Transfer RNA (tRNA) molecules are approximately 80 nucleotides in length. Their secondary structure includes four short double-helical elements and three loops (D, anti-codon, and T loops).
Source: RNAcentral